AGUCUGUCGGCAGCUCCCGUCGGCUGCGGAUGGUGCGGAGCCCUCCUCCGGUGUCAGGGUAUCUUGUUCUCUGUGGCAGCAUGGCAUUCUUCAGUUUGUCAGGUGAAGCGGGAGUGCUGUCUGUUGGUUUGUAGUUUCAGCAGGUGCGUUGCAAACUGGAGUUUGUGAGACCGUCAUUCAGAAGUGUGGCAUUCCUGUGGGGGUUAAGAAGCACACUGUGAAGUUUACAGUUCUUCAGGUUUGGAGUGGAGUUCCUUCCUGUGCUGGCUGAGGUCUGUGCUUUCCUGGAUUUUAGUUGUGUGUUCUAUAUGAGCAAUAUUGGGCUUUUUUUUUUUAAUUUUUGUGGAUUCUUUGUUGUAUAGCAUGUUUUCCUAUGUUUACUGUGGUUAUGAGAUUUUGUAAUUUUGCUGUAUGCACAUAAUAUGUAUUGGAGCAUGUAAAGGAUUUUUUUGGAUAUAUACUGACUAUGUCUUGUUUUUAUGGUAUUUUUGCCUGGUAGUAAAAAAUACAAACUGUUAAAUAGGCUUGAAUGUGAUAUUUUGGAGUUGCAUU
Long non-coding RNA from Gallus gallus (chicken), 552 nucleotides. RefSeq lists it as uncharacterized. NCBI's taxonomy places the organism in Eukaryota, Metazoa, Chordata, Aves, Galliformes, Phasianidae. The record is from RefSeq and is a predicted model, not a curated record. The transcript has 4 exons.